Molecule: ribosomal RNA, 1272 nt
Filed under: Bacillus subtilis
Lineage: Bacteria; Bacillati; Bacillota; Bacilli; Caryophanales; Bacillaceae
Description: bacterial SSU rRNA
Rfam family: Bacterial small subunit ribosomal RNA
Source: RNAcentral
AUGUUAGCGGCGGACGGGUGAGUAACACGUGGGUAACCUGCCUGUAAGACUGGGAUAACUCCGGGAAACCGGGGCUAAUACCGGAUGCUUGUUUGAACCGCAUGGUUCAAACAUAAAAGGUGGCUUCGGCUACCACUUACAGAUGGACCCGCGGCGCAUUAGCUAGUUGGUGAGGUAACGGCUCACCAAGGCAACGAUGCGUAGCCGACCUGAGAGGGUGAUCGGCCACACUGGGACUGAGACACGGCCCAGACUCCUACGGGAGGCAGCAGUAGGGAAUCUUCCGCAAUGGACGAAAGUCUGACGGAGCAACGCCGCGUGAGUGAUGAAGGUUUUCGGAUCGUAAAGCUCUGUUGUUAGGGAAGAACAAGUACCGUUCGAAUAGGGCGGUACCUUGACGGUACCUAACCAGAAAGCCACGGCUAACUACGUGCCAGCAGCCGCGGUAAUACGUAGGUGGCAAGCGUUGUCCGGAAUUAUUGGGCGUAAAGGGCUCGCAGGCGGUUUCUUAAGUCUGAUGUGAAAGCCCCCGGCUCAACCGGGGAGGGUCAUUGGAAACUGGGGAACUUGAGUGCAGAAGAGGAGAGUGGAAUUCCACGUGUAGCGGUGAAAUGCGUAGAGAUGUGGAGGAACACCAGUGGCGAAGGCGACUCUCUGGUCUGUAACUGACGCUGAGGAGCGAAAGCGUGGGGAGCGAACAGGAUUAGAUACCCUGGUAGUCCACGCCGUAAACGAUGAGUGCUAAGUGUUAGGGGGUUUCCGCCCCUUAGUGCUGCAGCUAACGCAUUAAGCACUCCGCCUGGGGGAGUACGGUCGCAAGACUGAAACUCAAAGGAAUUGACGGGGGCCCGCACAAGCGGUGGAGCAUGUGGUUUAAUUCGAAGCAACGCGAAGAACCUUACCAGGUCUUGACAUCCUCUGACAAUCCUAGAGAUAGGACGUCCCCUUCGGGGGCAGAGUGACAGGUGGUGCAUGGUUGUCGUCAGCUCGUGUCGUGAGAUGUUGGGUUAAGUCCCGCAACGAGCGCAACCCUUGAUCUUAGUUGCCAGCAUUCAGUUGGGCACUCUAAGGUGACUGCCGGUGACAAACCGGAGGAAGGUGGGGAUGACGUCAAAUCAUCAUGCCCCUUAUGACCUGGGCUACACACGUGCUACAAUGGACAGAACAAAGGGCAGCGAAACCGCGAGGUUAAGCCAAUCCCACAAAUCUGUUCUCAGUUCGGAUCGCAGUCUGCAACUCGACUGCGUGAAGCUGGAAUCGCUAGUAAUCGCG